This 49-nucleotide transfer RNA is filed under the name Gammaproteobacteria bacterium. RNAcentral describes it as "tRNA-Met". Lineage: Bacteria; Pseudomonadati; Pseudomonadota; Gammaproteobacteria. The record is from RNAcentral.
UGCGGGGUGGAGCAGCCUGGUAGCUCGUCGGGCUCAUAACCCGAAGGUC